AGAGUUUGAUCCUGGCUCAGGAUGAACGCUGGCGGCGUGCUUAACACAUGCAAGUCGAACGAAGCACUUUAUCACGAUUUCUUCGGAAUGACGAUUUGGUGACUGAGUGGCGGACGGGUGAGUAACGCGUGGGUAACCUGCCUUAUACAGGGGGAUAACAGUUGGAAACGGCUGCUAAUACCGCAUAAGCGCACAGGGUCGCAUGACCUGGUGUGAAAAACUCCGGUGGUAUGAGAUGGACCCGCGUUGGAUUAGCUGGUUGGUGAGGUAACGGCCCACCAAGGCGACGAUCCAUAGCCGACCUGAGAGGGUGACCGGCCACAUUGGGACUGAGACACGGCCCAAACUCCUACGGGAGGCAGCAGUGGGGAAUAUUGCACAAUGGGCGAAAGCCUGAUGCAGCGACGCCGCGUGAGCGAAGAAGUAUUUCGGUAUGUAAAGCUCUAUCAGCAGGGAAGAUAAUGACGGUACCUGACUAAGAAGCACCGGCUAAAUACGUGCCAGCAGCCGCGGUAAUACGUAUGGUGCAAGCGUUAUCCGGAUUUACUGGGUGUAAAGGGAGCGCAGGCGGUACGGCAAGUCUGAUGUGAAAGCCCGGGGCUCGACCCCGGUACUGCAUUGGAAACUGUCGAACUAGAGUGUCGGAGGGGUAAGUGGAAUUCCUAGUGUAGCGGUGAAAUGCGUAGGUAUUAGGAGGAACACCAGUGGCGAAGGCGGCUUACUGGACGAUAACUGACGCUGAGGCUCGAAAGCGUGGGGAGCAAACAGGAUUAGAUACCCUGGUAGUCCACGCCGUAAACGAUGAAUAUCUAGGUGUCGGGGAGCAAAGCUCUUCGGUGCCGUCGC
This 846-nucleotide ribosomal RNA is filed under the name uncultured bacterium. RNAcentral's name for it is "bacterial SSU rRNA". It matches the Rfam family "Bacterial small subunit ribosomal RNA", at positions 8 to 852 of the family's 1533-position model. The record is from RNAcentral.